GAUGAACGCUGGCGGCGUGCCUAAUACAUGCAAGUCGAGCGAACAGACGAGGAGCUUGCUCCUCUGACGUUAGCGGCGGACGGGUGAGUAACACGUGGAUAACCUACCUAUAAGACUGGGAUAACUUCGGGAAACCGGAGCUAAUACCGGAUAAUAUUUUGAACCGCAUGGUUCAAAAGUGAAAGACGGUCUUGCUGUCACUUAUAGAUGGAUCCGCGCUGCAUUAGCUAGUUGGUAAGGUAACGGCUUACCAAGGCGACGAUGCGUAGCCGACCUGAGAGGGUGAUCGGCCACACUGGAACUGAGACACGGUCCAGACUCCUACGGGAGGCAGCAGUAGGGAAUCUUCCGCAAUGGGCGAAAGCCUGACGGAGCAACGCCGCGUGAGUGAUGAAGGUCUUCGGAUCGUAAAACUCUGUUAUUAGGGAAGAACAUAUGUGUAAGUAACUGUGCACAUCUUGACGGUACCUAAUCAGAAAGCCACGGCUAACUACGUG
This 497-nucleotide ribosomal RNA is filed under the name uncultured bacterium. RNAcentral's name for it is "partial 16S ribosomal RNA". It matches the Rfam family "Bacterial small subunit ribosomal RNA", at positions 28 to 507 of the family's 1533-position model. The record is from RNAcentral.